Molecule: ribosomal RNA, 498 nt
Filed under: uncultured bacterium
Lineage: Bacteria
Description: partial 16S ribosomal RNA
Rfam family: Bacterial small subunit ribosomal RNA
Source: RNAcentral
AUUGAACGCUGGCGGCAUGCCUUACACAUGCAAGUCGAACGGUAACAGGUCUUCGGAUGCUGACGAGUGGCGAACGGGUGAGUAAUACAUCGGAACGUGCCUAGUAGUGGGGGAUAACUACUCGAAAGAGUGGCUAAUACCGCAUGAGAUCUACGGAUGAAAGCAGGGGAUCGCAAGACCUUGUGCUACUAGAGCGGCCGAUGGCAGAUUAGGUAGUUGGUAGGAUAAAAGCUUACCAAGCCGAAGAUCUGUAGCUGGUCUGAGAGGACGGUCAUCCAAACUGGGACUGAGACACGGCCCAGACUCCUACGGGAGGCAGCAGUGGGGAAUUUUGGACAAUGGGCGAAAGCCUGAUCCAGCAAUGCCGCGUGCAGGCUGAAGGCCUUCGGGUUGUAAACUGCUUUUGUACGGAACGAAAAGCCCCGGGUUAAUACCCUGGGGUCAUGACGGUACCGUAAGAAUAAGCACCGGCUAACUACGUGCCAGCCGCCGCGGUAA